AUAACCUUUGCCUGUAAAACUGCUCUUUGCCCCCUGGUGGUGAAAGCAUUAUUAUUAAUUUUUUAAAAGUUAAACGACUUUAAUUACAGAGUCUUGGCACUAAAAAUCCUUUUGUGACUAAUUGGAGCCUUUGUAUAUGAGGAAAAUACAACCAUUGCUGUGCUCCAGCUGAAUUGAAGACUAAGAAGGAGAGACUAUCCUCUUUGGUUGGUUAAAGGAAAAAGGAGAAAAACUAAUUUUCAAAUUUUAAAAAGUGAUUCAAGUGAGUUACUAGAAACCUUUGAAAAACUAAUACAAUCUUGGAACUGUGGAAGACGUUAGAAGAAAGAAAUUUUAACGUGGAUUCUUUCAUGAAACAUUAAAGCCUAUAUAAAGCCAAAAACAUAAUUAUCAGAAAAUACAGAGCUGUUUCAGGGGACCUGGACCAGAACAAGCAGGGACCUCAUUUCAGAGUGGACAAGUGUCAUUGGAACUGAGCAGGCUGAAGCUUCAAGAGCAAUACCUUAUGGCAGUGAGAAGCAAUAGCGGUCCUCCGGUUCUGUUUUAGCUUGGCCUGGGAAAGAGACUUUCAAUGCAGUAAGUCCCUGGGGUUGUUGGACAAUGUGAGAGUAGAACUCAAGAGGGAAACACUAGACUGUCUGCUAAAAGAUCAGACCAAAACCCCUAAAUCUGUGGCAAUAUGGCGCCGGGGUCAAAAGUUAUAUUGCAUUUAAUCCAAUGAUCAAAUUAGGAGAAAGGAUAAGUGUUGAGAUAUUAUGUAAAAGCAAUGCUUAAGAUUAUUACUUUCAUCUUACUUUGAUGUUCUACUCAUCAAAUAAACAGUAAGCUAAUUUAGAGACUUCAUAAAGAUGACAUUCACUUUAAGGAAACUGAUAUAUCAAAAAGCAAACUAAAAAACUGUAGUAG
Molecule: long non-coding RNA, 906 nt
Filed under: Equus asinus (donkey)
Lineage: Eukaryota; Metazoa; Chordata; Mammalia; Perissodactyla; Equidae
Description: lncRNA (ENSEASG00005027043.1, ENSEASG00020027073.1)
Source: RNAcentral